This 500-nucleotide ribosomal RNA is filed under the name uncultured bacterium. RNAcentral describes it as "partial 16S ribosomal RNA". It matches the Rfam family "Bacterial small subunit ribosomal RNA", at positions 30 to 523 of the family's 1533-position model. The record is from RNAcentral.
AUUGAACGCUGGCGGAAUGCUUUACACAUGCAAGUCGAACGGCAGCACGGACUUCGGUCUGGUGGCGAGUGGCGAGCGGGUGAGUAAUGUAUCGGAACGUGCCCAGUCGUGGGGGAUAACGUAGUGAAAAUUACGCUAAUACCGCAUACGAUCUAUGGAUGAAAGCGGGGGACCGUAAGGCCUCGCGCGAUUGGAGCGGCCGAUAUCAGAUUAGGUAGUUGGUGGGGCAAAGGCUCACCAAGCCGACGAUCGGUAGCUGGUCUGAGAGGACGACCAGCCACACUGGAACUGAGACACGGUCCAGACUCCUACGGGAGGCAGCAGUGGGGAAUUUUGGACAAUGGGCGCAAGCCUGAUCCAGCCAUUCCGCGUGCAGGAUGAAGGCCCUCGGGUUGUAAACUGCUUUUGUACGGAACGAAAAGGCUCUGGUUAAUACCUGGGGCUCAUGACGGUACCGUAAGAAUAAGCACCGGCUAACUACGUGCCAGCCGCCGCUGUAA